AGCGGUGAAAUGCGUAGAUAUCAGAAGGAACACCAAUGGCGAAGGCAACUUUCUGGACCAAUACUGACGCUGAGGUACGAAAGCGUGGGUAGCAAACAGGAUUAGAUACCCUGGUAGUCCACGCCGUAAACGAUGAUAACUAGCCGUUGGGGGGAUUUACCCCUUAGUGGCGAAGCUAACGCGUUAAGUUAUCCGCCUGGGGAGUACGGCCGCAAGGUUAAAACUCAAAGGAAUUGACGGGGACCCGCACAAGCGGUGGAGCAUGUGGUUUAAUUCGAUGCAACGCGAAGAACCUUACCUGGUCUUGACAUCCUGAGAACUUUCUAGAAAUAGAUUGGUGCCUUCGGGAACUCAGUGACAGGUGCUGCAUGGCUGUCGUCAGCUCGUGUCGUGAGAUGUUGGGUUAAGUCCCGUAACGAGCGCAACCCCUAUCCUUAUUUGCCAGCACAUCAUGGUGGGAACUAUAAGGAGACUGCCGGUGAUAAACCGGAGGAAGGCGGGGACGACGUCAAGUCAUCAUGGCCCUUACGACCAGGGCUACACACGUGCUACAAUGGGAAGGACAAAGAGCCGCGAAGCCGCGAGGUGUAGCUAAUCUCAGAAACCUUUUCGUAGUCCGGAUUGGAGUCUGCAACUCGACUCCAUGAAGUCGGAAUCGCUAGUAAUCGUAGAUCAGAAUGCUACGGUGAAUACGUUCCCGGGUCUUGUACACACCGCCCGUCACACCAUGGGAGUGGGUUGCACCAGAAGUGGCUAGUCUAACUUUAUUGAGGACGGUCACCACGGUGUGAUUCAUGACUGGGAUGAAGUCGUAACAAGGUAGCCCUACCGGAAGGUGGGGCUG
Molecule: ribosomal RNA, 844 nt
Filed under: marine metagenome
Description: bacterial SSU rRNA
Rfam family: Bacterial small subunit ribosomal RNA
Source: RNAcentral